CAUUGUGAAGUAAGGACGCAUUGUUUUUUUUCUUUUCCAAGAUCUGAAAAAUAUAUUUUUCAUUUGCUUCACCUUUUUUUUUUAUCCUAUCCUAAGAUGAGAGCUAUGUUUCAUUAAAGAGUUUGAUUUUAUUUUCUUGAAGUUAUCUAAAUCAGAAAUAUAAUAGUUUGAUUUCAUUUCAGGUAAUCGAAAGUUUCUGAAAAUCUCCCAAGGAGACAAAAUGAGACAAGGGUCUUCAUGCUCUGAAGAAGUCUGCUUCGACUUGUUGAAUCAGUUCGAGCAUCUUCUUGAAUCUGACCCUCUCAUUGAUGAAGUUGGGUUUAUUCACCCCUCACAGUUCACACUGCUGGAUAAAGAAUCAGGAUCCGUUGCUGACGGAAGCUCAACAAGUUUCUGGAAUCAAGAUCAUAAACUGGGAAUAUCAACUGACAUACUUAUCCAAUUAUGUAAAGAUGCAAAACAUGCCUUCCUGUCUGCAUUUAAGGAGUACAAAUGCCUUGAAACCGCAUCUACUUCUGCCAAAGAUAUCUCGUCUGGGAUCCCUUCUUGUUCCCUUGAGAGCAGAGUCAUGAAACAUAGCCAAGCUCUGUUGCUGUUAAGCUCAGACUUUGGAACUGCAUGGAACGCCAGGAAGUUGAUCUUGUCCAAACAAGAUCAACCCUUGGAGGCAUUCACGGAAGAACUUCGUCUUUCUAGGCUCCUUCUUUCUAACUCUCCAAAGAGUGAGCCAACAUGGAGUCACAGAAGAUGGAUAAUUAAGAUGCUUUCCCGGAGGUUUUCAGCAUCACAAGAGAUUAUCACCAAAGAGUCUGAGCUAGUGGAAUCAAUAGGCGAGGUUUAUAUCAGUUUGUGUGCUUUAUAUAUAAUGAAGAGAUCAAAGAUGAACUACCGUGCAUGGUAUCACCGCUGCUGGUUGGUUUCCUACAUGACAACAGAGCAGGUGCUACAAGAGUUGAAAAAUUCUAAAAGGUGGGCAGGGCUGCAUGUAGCCGAUAGUUCUUGCUUUCAUUACCGCAGACGGCUGAUGCUCAGGGUUUUGGAGACACAUAAUGUGGAAGGAAGCAACGCUUAUGAUAAAACUGAGGCACAUAAGAUCUGGAAGGAAGAGCUUGAUUGGAACAAAGAGUUGGUGGCACGUUACUUGGGCCGAGAGGCACUAUGGCUUCACCGGCGAUUCCUCUCUCUUACUUGGAUAAUGCAUUUCGGACGCAACCAGUCAUCUGAAACCGGACAGCGCAUGGUCAUGAAUGAAGAAAUUGUCACCUUCAUUGAUAAAGAGAUCCAUCUUCUAGAAUCUUCUAUGACCGUUCCAGAUACCAAGUUUGAAGAUUUUCAAGCUCAAGCAUUGCAUGCUGCUGUCUACAUGCUAUGGCUGACAAAAGUAAAAUGUUCCAGAGAUGUGGAGAAUGCUUGAGGAGAAGCUUGGAACAGAGAAAAUCAAGUGUAUACUGAACACAGUUGCUCAAGAGAGACCCUCCUCGCUUUUGCACCAACUAGAUAUUUUUGCAGCUGAUCUUGAGUAUUGAUCAAUAUGUUAACCGUUGUUGUAAGGUUUCAAUAUAUAAAAUUUACUAGAAAUAAAAGUUUAACGUUGAUGCCCACAUCCCCUAUAUAUUAAUUGAGAAGCAUUUAAAAAAUAAGAACCUUAAUUUUGUAUUAAUUAAAAAAAACCCCAAAUCCUAGGUGGCACUCUAAAUGCCUUCUAAAUUCUAUUUCAAAGAAUUCUAGAGCAUCUAAUAUAAAGUAUAGUUUAAUCUAAUGGUGUCACAUUAUUUUAUAAUUAUAUAACACUAGAGAACAUUAUAUUAACCUAAAAUAUAGGAAGUGUGUAUUCUUUCCUUAAAUAAAAGCUACGGAAUUACCUAAUAUGAUUUACAUAUAUAUGGCAAUUAAUUAUUAUGAAUAAUGGCAAUUAAUUAU
RNA transcript from Brassica rapa (field mustard), 1920 nucleotides. It is a transcript of the gene named protein prenyltransferase alpha subunit repeat-containing protein 1, with no coding region annotated. The record is from RefSeq and is a predicted model, not a curated record. NCBI's taxonomy places the organism in Eukaryota, Viridiplantae, Streptophyta, Magnoliopsida, Brassicales, Brassicaceae.